Long non-coding RNA from Hippocampus comes (tiger tail seahorse), 520 nucleotides. RefSeq lists it as uncharacterized. The transcript is spliced from 5 exons. The record is from RefSeq and is a predicted model, not a curated record. Lineage: Eukaryota; Metazoa; Chordata; Actinopteri; Syngnathiformes; Syngnathidae.
CCCCCUUCUCUUUCUGGGGCCUUCCUGCCACAAUCCCCUCGGACGGGCCCACUUGGAUCGAUCGCCACUCGGUAUUGACGCGGCACCUGCCGAGGUCCCAGUAGGAAAGCGGAAAAAGGAGAAGAGGCCUCUUCAGAGGAACUCGCGAACGGGAGAUGUGCAGCUGAAGCCGAGUUAUUAGCGUCUCCGUUUUUAUGGCAUGGCUUCGUCACUUUUUUUGAGCCACCAAUAGUGAGGUAUGGGCCUACCAAAUCUCUCGUUGCUGAGUGAAGCUGGCUUUAAGAGAUGAGCUUUCCCCAAAUUGCAGUGCUUGCUUUCCGUGGCGUUCACCAUUCCCUCCGCGAACGGCGUCAUCUUUUCCCACCUGGCGCGGCGCUACCCGGCUCUCACGAGGUCGUAUUCGACGAAGGCCGCCGCUUGCGGGGCGGGGCUGGCGCUGGCACCUGCCGCCGCUUGGGCCACCACGACUCCAUCCGGGCGAACGACGGUCGCUGUGAGUGGCUCACGAGAAGGCCGACUU